This 558-nucleotide ribosomal RNA is filed under the name Paraburkholderia sp. RNAcentral describes it as "bacterial SSU rRNA". It matches the Rfam family "Bacterial small subunit ribosomal RNA", at positions 199 to 750 of the family's 1533-position model. Lineage: Bacteria; Pseudomonadati; Pseudomonadota; Betaproteobacteria; Burkholderiales; Burkholderiaceae. The record is from RNAcentral.
AUCUUUCGGGACCUCUCGCUGCAGGGGCGGCCGAUGGCAGAUUAGCUAGUUGGUGGGGUAAAGGCCUACCAAGGCGACGAUCUGUAGCUGGUCUGAGAGGACGACCAGCCACACUGGGACUGAGACACGGCCCAGACUCCUACGGGAGGCAGCAGUGGGGAAUUUUGGACAAUGGGGGCAACCCUGAUCCAGCAAUGCCGCGUGUGUGAAGAAGGCCUUCGGGUUGUAAAGCACUUUUGUCCGGAAAGAAAACUUCGGGGUUAAUACCCCUGGAGGAUGACGGUACCGGAAGAAUAAGCACCGGCUAACUACGUGCCAGCAGCCGCGGUAAUACGUAGGGUGCGAGCGUUAAUCGGAAUUACUGGGCGUAAAGCGUGCGCAGGCGGUCCGCUAAGACCGAUGUGAAAUCCCCGGGCUUAACCUGGGAACUGCAUUGGUGACUGGCGGGCUAGAGUAUGGCAGAGGGGGGUAGAAUUCCACGUGUAGCAGUGAAAUGCGUAGAGAUGUGGAGGAAUACCGAUGGCGAAGGCAGCCCCCUGGGCCAAUACUGACGCUCAU